This 75-nucleotide transfer RNA is filed under the name Candidatus Aenigmatarchaeota archaeon. RNAcentral's name for it is "tRNA-Arg". It matches the Rfam family "tRNA". Rfam says of the family: Transfer RNA (tRNA) molecules are approximately 80 nucleotides in length. The record is from RNAcentral. Lineage: Archaea; Nanobdellati; Candidatus Aenigmatarchaeota.
GGCCUCGUAGCUCAGUUUGGAUAGAGCAGCAGGCUUCUAACCUGAAGGUCGGGGGUUCGAAUCCCCUCGGGGCCA